UACGGGGGGGCAAGCGUUGUUCGGAAUUACUGGGCGUAAAGGGCUCGUAGGUGGCCAACUAAGUCGGACGUGAAAUCCCUCAGCUUAACUGGGGAACUGCGUCCGAUACUGGAUGGCUUGAGUUUGGGAGAGGGAUGCGGAAUUCCAGGUGUAGCGGUGAAAUGCGUAGAUAUCUGGAGGAACACCGGUGGCGAAGGCGGCAAUCCUGGACCAACACUGACACUGAGGAGCGAAAGCCAGGGGAGCAAACGGG
RNAcentral lists this ribosomal RNA (253 nucleotides) under uncultured bacterium. RNAcentral's name for it is "partial 16S ribosomal RNA". It matches the Rfam family "Bacterial small subunit ribosomal RNA", at positions 524 to 776 of the family's 1533-position model. The record is from RNAcentral.